UCCCCUGUAGCUCAGUUGGUUAGAGCGGUGGACUGUUAAUCCAUGUGUCGUCUGUUCAAAUCAGACCAGGGGAGCCA
Molecule: transfer RNA, 77 nt
Filed under: Thalassotalea loyana
Lineage: Bacteria; Pseudomonadati; Pseudomonadota; Gammaproteobacteria; Alteromonadales; Colwelliaceae
Also listed under: 14 other names
Description: tRNA-Asn
Rfam family: tRNA
About the family: Transfer RNA (tRNA) molecules are approximately 80 nucleotides in length. Their secondary structure includes four short double-helical elements and three loops (D, anti-codon, and T loops).
Source: RNAcentral